GACGAACGCUGGCGGCGUGCUUAACACAUGCAAGUCGAACGGAAAGGCCCUGCUUUUGUGGGGUGCUCGAGUGGCGAACGGGUGAGUAACACGUGAGUAACCUGCCCUUGACUUUGGGAUAACUUCAGGAAACUGGGGCUAAUACCGGAUAGGAGCUCCUGCUGCAUGGUGGGGGUUGGAAAGUUUCGGCGGUUGGGGAUGGACUCGCGGCUUAUCAGCUUGUUGGUGGGGUAGUGGCUUACCAAGGCUUUGACGGGUAGCCGGCCUGAGAGGGUGACCGGCCACAUUGGGACUGAGAUACGGCCCAGACUCCUACGGGAGGCAGCAGUGGCGAAUAUUGCACAAUGGGCGGAAGCCUGAUGCAGCAACGCCGCGUGCGGGAUGACGGCCUUCGGGCUGUAAACCGCUUUCGCCUGUGACGAAGCGUGAGUGACGGUAAUGGGUAAAGAAGCACCGGCUAACUACGUG
RNAcentral lists this ribosomal RNA (468 nucleotides) under uncultured bacterium. Its description in RNAcentral is "partial 16S ribosomal RNA". It matches the Rfam family "Bacterial small subunit ribosomal RNA", at positions 28 to 507 of the family's 1533-position model. The record is from RNAcentral.